RNAcentral lists this ribosomal RNA (253 nucleotides) under uncultured bacterium. Its description in RNAcentral is "partial 16S ribosomal RNA". It matches the Rfam family "Bacterial small subunit ribosomal RNA", at positions 524 to 776 of the family's 1533-position model. The record is from RNAcentral.
UACAGAGGCCUCGAGCGUUAGGCGGAAUCACUGGGCUUAAAGCGUGUGUAGGCGGACUUCUAAGUACCUUGUGAAAUCCCACGGCUUACCCGUGGAACGGCUGGGUAUACUGGUUGUCUUGAGCCACUUAGGGGCUACCGGAACAAAUGGUGGAGCGGUGAAAUGCGUAGAUAUCGGAAGGAACACCUGUGGCGAAAGCGGCUCACUGGACCAUUACUGACGCUGAGGCACGAAAGCUAGGGGAGCAAACAGG